Molecule: long non-coding RNA, 222 nt
Filed under: Elaeis guineensis (African oil palm)
Lineage: Eukaryota; Viridiplantae; Streptophyta; Magnoliopsida; Arecales; Arecaceae
Description: long non-coding RNA (EGUI_LNC081036)
Source: RNAcentral
AGUUUGGCCAGGCCGCCUUUAUCAAAGGCUUCGAGCUUUGCCAGGAGAAGGUGGUCGGGAAGUUUUCUGAACUCGACCUCAGCUUCCUGGAUGAAGCGUCCGACGAUGAAGCCGGACCUUCCGAAGCUGCUGCCAGUCUCCCUCCAGUCAGGACCUCUUCAACUGUCGCAGCUACCGUGACCAACCUUCCAGAGGCACCGAGCUCCUCCACUUCUGCUCCAA